RNAcentral lists this ribosomal RNA (1483 nucleotides) under uncultured prokaryote. RNAcentral's name for it is "partial 16S ribosomal RNA". It matches the Rfam family "Bacterial small subunit ribosomal RNA". The record is from RNAcentral.
AGAGUUUGAUCCUGGCUCAGGAUGAACGCUAGCGGCAGGCUUAACACAUGCAAGUCGAGGGGUAACGAUAUCUUCGGAUAGAUGACGACCGGGACGGGUGAGUAACGCGUAUGCAACCUACCUUUUACAGAGGAAUAGCCCAGAGAAAUUUGGAUUAAUACCUCAUAGUACUUUUAGAUCACAUGGUUUAAUAGUUAAAGCUUCGGCGGUAAAAGAUGGGCAUGCGUGACAUUAGAUUGUUGGCGGGGUAACGGCCCACCAAGUCUGCGAUGUCUAGGGGUUCUGAGAGGAUGAUCCCCCACACUGGUACUGAGACACGGACCAGACUCCUACGGGAGGCAGCAGUGAGGAAUAUUGGUCAAUGGGCGCAAGCCUGAACCAGCCAUCCCGCGUGAAGGAAGACUGCACUAUGGGUUGUAAACUUCUUUUAUGCACCAAGAAAUACCCCGACGUGUUGGGGCUUGACGGUAGUGUAGGAAUAAGCACCGGCUAACUCCGUGCCAGCAGCCGCGGUAAUACGGAGGGUGCAAGCGUUAUCCGGAUUUAUUGGGUUUAAAGGGUGCGCAGGCGGCUUUGUAAGUCAGUGGUGAAAUCCUGCCGCUUAACGGUAGAAUUGCCAUUGAUACUGGUUUUCUUGAGUAUAGUUGAGGUAGGCGGAAUGUGUAGUGUAGCGGUGAAAUGCAUAGAUAUUACACAGAACACCAAUUGCGAAGGCAGCUUACUAAACUAUAACUGACGCUGAUGCACGAAAGCGUGGGUAGCGAACAGGAUUAGAUACCCUGGUAGUCCACGCCGUAAACGAUGAUUACUCGUUGCAUGCAAUACACCGUAUGUGACUUAGCGAAAGCAUUAAGUAAUCCACCUGGGGAGUACGUUCGCAAGAAUGAAACUCAAAGGAAUUGACGGGGGCCCGCACAAGCGGAGGAACAUGUGGUUUAAUUCGAUGAUACGCGAGGAACCUUACCUGGACUUAAAUGUAGCUUGACCGGUUGAGAUAGUCUUUUUCUUCGGAACUACCUACAAGGUACUGCAUGGUUGUCGUCAGCUCGUGCCGUGAGGUGUCGGGUUAAGUCCCAUAACGAGCGCAACCCCUAUCGUUAGUUGCUAGCAGGUAAUGCUGAGGACUCUAGCGAGACUGCCACCGUAAGGUGAGAGGAAGGUGGGGAUGACGUCAAAUCAGCACGGCCCUUAUGCCCAGGGCUACACACGUGUUACAAUGGCCGGUACAGAGGGCAGCUACACAGCGAUGUGAUGCGAAUCCCCAAAGCCGGUCUCAGUUCGGAUCGGAGUCUGCAACUCGACUCCGUGAAGUUGGAUUCGCUAGUAAUCGUAUAUCAGCAAUGAUACGGUGAAUACGUUCCCGGGCCUUGUACACACCGCCCGUCAAGCCAUGGAAGCUGGGGGUACCUGAAGUCUGUAACCGUAAGGAGCGGCCUAGGGUAAAACUAGUAACUGGGGCUAAGUCGAAACAAGGUAGCCGUAA